UAGUGGCGAACGGGUGAGUAACACGUGAGUAACCUGCCCUUGACUCUGGGAUAAGCCUGGGAAACUGGGUCUAAUACCGGAUAUGACCAUUCCACGCAUGUGGUGGUGGUGGAAAGCUUUUGCGGUUUUGGAUGGACUCGCGGCCUAUCAGCUUGUUGGUGGGGUAAUGGCCUACCAAGGCGACGACGGGUAGCCGGCCUGAGAGGGUGACCGGCCACACUGGGACUGAGACACGGCCCAGACUCCUACGGGAGGCAGCAGUGGGGAAUAUUGCACAAUGGGCGGAAGCCUGAUGCAGCGACGCCGCGUGAGGGAUGACGGCCUUCGGGUUGUAAACCUCUUUCAGUAGGGAAGAAGCGUAAGUGACGGUACCUGCAGAAGAAGCGCCGGCUAACUACGUGCCAGCAGCCGCGGUAAUACGUAGGGCGCAAGCGUUAUCCGGAAUUAUUGGGCGUAAAGAGCUCGUAGGCGGUUUGUCGCGUCUGCUGUGAAAGACCGGGGCUCAACUCCGGUUCUGCAGUGGGUACGGGCAGACUAGAGUGCAGUAGGGGAGACUGGAAUUCCUGGUGUAGCGGUGAAAUGCGCAGAUAUCAGGAGGAACACCGAUGGCGAAGGCAGGUCUCUGGGCUGUAACUGACGCUGAGGAGCGAAAGCAUGGGGAGCGAACAGGAUUAGAUACCCUGGUAGUCCAUGCCGUAAACGUUGGGCACUAGGUGUGGGGGACAUUCCACGUUUUCCGCGCCGUAGCUAACGCAUUAAGUGCCCCGCCUGGGGAGUACGGCCGCAAGGCUAAAACUCAAAGGAAUUGACGGGGGCCCGCACAAGCGGCGGAGCAUGCGGAUUAAUUCGAUGCAACGCGAAGAACCUUACCAAGGCUUGACAUGGACUGGAAAGAUCUGGAGACAGGUCCCCCGCUUGCGGUCGGUUCACAGGUGGUGCAUGGUUGUCGUCAGCUCGUGUCGUGAGAUGUUGGGUUAAGUCCCGCAACGAGCGCAACCCUCGUUCUAUGUUGCCAGCGCGUUAUGGCGGGGACUCAUAGGAGACUGCCGGGGUCAACUCGGAGGAAGGUGGGGACGACGUCAAAUCAUCAUGCCCCUUAUGUCUUGGGCUUCACGCAUGCUACAAUGGCCGGUACAAAGGGUUGCGAUACUGUGAGGUGGAGCUAAUCCCAAAAAGCCGGUCUCAGUUCGGAUUGGGGUCUGCAACUCGACCCCA
This 1215-nucleotide ribosomal RNA is filed under the name Paenarthrobacter aurescens. RNAcentral describes it as "bacterial SSU rRNA". It matches the Rfam family "Bacterial small subunit ribosomal RNA", at positions 93 to 1320 of the family's 1533-position model. Lineage: Bacteria; Bacillati; Actinomycetota; Actinomycetes; Micrococcales; Micrococcaceae. The record is from RNAcentral.